AUUGAACGCUGGCGGCAUGCCUUACACAUGCAAGUCGAACGGUAGCGGGCCUUCGGGUGCCGACGAGUGGCGAACGGGUGAGUAAUGUAUCGGAACGUACCAUUGAGUGGGGGAUAACGUAGCGAAAGUUACGCUAAUACCGCAUAUUCUCUCCGGAGGAAAGCAGGGGACCGCAAGGCCUUGCGCUCUUUGAGCGGCCGAUAUCAGAUUAGCUAGUUGGUGAGGUAAAGGCUCACCAAGGCGACGAUCUGUAGCGGGUCUGAGAGGAUGAUCGCCACACUGGAACUGAGACACGGUCCAGACUCCUACGGGAGGCAGCAGUGGGGAAUUUUGGACAAUGGGGGGCAACCCUGAUCCAGCCAUGCCGCGUGAGUGAAGAAGGCC
RNAcentral lists this ribosomal RNA (384 nucleotides) under uncultured bacterium. RNAcentral describes it as "bacterial SSU rRNA". It matches the Rfam family "Bacterial small subunit ribosomal RNA", at positions 30 to 416 of the family's 1533-position model. The record is from RNAcentral.